GGCCGCCUGGCGAAAUGGCAUCGCGUCUGACUACGAUCAGGCCUCCCAGGGCUUGUGGAGAUCAGGAGAUUGCAGGUUCGACCCCUGCGGUGGUCA
This is a non-coding RNA of Cubamyces sp. BRFM 1775, 96 nucleotides long. The record is from the annotation of a GenBank genome assembly. NCBI's taxonomy places the organism in Eukaryota, Fungi, Basidiomycota, Agaricomycetes, Polyporales, Polyporaceae.